ACAUGCGUAGCUUAUUGAAAGUAUAGCCCUGAAAAGGCUAAGAUGAGAAGUAAAAUUUCCGCGAGUA
RNAcentral lists this transfer RNA (67 nucleotides) under Chimaera fulva (southern chimaera). Its description in RNAcentral is "tRNA-Phe". It matches the Rfam family "tRNA". From Rfam's summary of the family: Transfer RNA (tRNA) molecules are approximately 80 nucleotides in length. Their secondary structure includes four short double-helical elements and three loops (D, anti-codon, and T loops). Further hydrogen bonds mediate the characteristic L-shaped molecular structure. tRNAs have two regions of fundamental functional importance: the anti-codon, which is responsible for specific mRNA codon recognition, and the 3' end, to which the tRNAs corresponding amino acid is attached (by aminoacyl-tRNA synthetases). tRNAs cope with the degeneracy of the genetic code in two manners: having more than one tRNA (with a specific anti-codon) for a particular amino acid; and 'wobble' base-pairing, i.e. permitting non-standard base-pairing at the 3rd anti-codon position. The record is from RNAcentral. Lineage: Eukaryota; Metazoa; Chordata; Chondrichthyes; Chimaeriformes; Chimaeridae.